RNAcentral lists this ribosomal RNA (207 nucleotides) under uncultured bacterium. RNAcentral describes it as "partial 16S ribosomal RNA". It matches the Rfam family "Bacterial small subunit ribosomal RNA", at positions 568 to 774 of the family's 1533-position model. The record is from RNAcentral.
CGCGUAGGCGGCUUUGUAAGUCGGAUGUGAAAGCCCCGGGCUUAACCUGGGAAUUGCAUUCGAUACUGCAGAGCUAGAGUAUGGUAGAGGGAAGUGGAAUUCCGGGUGUAGCGGUGAAAUGCGUAGAUAUCCGGAGGAACACCAGUGGCGAAGGCGACUUCCUGGGCCAAUACUGACGCUGAGGUGCGAAAGCGUGGGGAGCAAACA